Molecule: ribosomal RNA, 427 nt
Filed under: uncultured Lysobacter sp.
Lineage: Bacteria; Pseudomonadati; Pseudomonadota; Gammaproteobacteria; Lysobacterales; Lysobacteraceae
Description: bacterial SSU rRNA
Rfam family: Bacterial small subunit ribosomal RNA
Source: RNAcentral
UGGGGAAUAUUGGACAAUGGGCGCAAGCCUGAUCCAGCCAUGCCGCGUGUGUGAAGAAGGCCUUCGGGUUGUAAAGCACUUUUGUCCGGAAAGAAAUCCAAUCGAUUAAUACUCGGUUGGGAUGACGGUACCGGAAGAAUAAGCACCGGCUAACUUCGUGCCAGCAGCCGCGGUAAUACGAAGGGUGCAAGCGUUACUCGGAAUUACUGGGCGUAAAGCGUGCGUAGGUGGUUUGUUAAGUCUGAUGUGAAAGCCCUGGGCUCAACCUGGGAACGGCAUUGGAUACUGGCUUACUAGAGUGCGGUAGAGGGUAGUGGAAUUCCCGGUGUAGCAGUGAAAUGCGUAGAUAUCGGGAGGAACAUCUGUGGCGAAGGCGACUACCUGGACCAGCACUGACACUGAGGCACGAAAGCGUGGGGAGCAAACA